GGACCCGCACAAGCGGUGGAUGAUGUGGAUUAAUUCGAUGCAACGCGAAAAACCUUACCUACCCUUGACAUGUCAGGAAUUUUGCAGAGAUGCGAAAGUGCUCGAAAGAGAACCUGAACACAGGUGCUGCAUGGCUGUCGUCAGCUCGUGUCGUGAGAUGUUGGGUUAAGUCCCGCAACGAGCGCAACCCUUGUCAUUAGUUGCUACGCAAGGGCACUCUAAUGAGACUGCCGGUGACAAACCGGAGGAAGGUGGGGACGACGUCAAGUCCUCAUGGCCCUUAUGGGUAGGGCUUCACACGUCAUACAAUGGUUGGUACAGAGGGUUGCGAACCGCGAGGGGAAGAU
RNAcentral lists this ribosomal RNA (347 nucleotides) under uncultured bacterium. Its description in RNAcentral is "bacterial SSU rRNA". It matches the Rfam family "Bacterial small subunit ribosomal RNA", at positions 917 to 1269 of the family's 1533-position model. The record is from RNAcentral.